Molecule: long non-coding RNA, 1031 nt
Filed under: Monodelphis domestica (gray short-tailed opossum)
Lineage: Eukaryota; Metazoa; Chordata; Mammalia; Didelphimorphia; Didelphidae
Description: lncRNA (ENSMODG00000049744.1)
Source: RNAcentral
ACACUAUUUUCUGUUUCUAGAUGACUUAUCUUAGUUUUUAAGUUCUUUUCCCAAUUGUCUUCAGCCUCUCUUAAUUGUGUUUUGAAUUGCAUUUUGAGUUCUUCCAAAGCCUGUAUCCAAUUCGCUGGGAUUUCUGAUUUUUCCUUUGCUGAUCCCUCCCCCUCUGUUUCAUUCCCUCUUUGCUCAUUACCUGUGCAGAAGCUGUCUAUUGUAAUUUCUUUCUUCUUUUUCUGUUGUUUUCUCGAGUUUACCCCUUUUUUGCUCCCCGUAUUUGGCUAUGCUCUUGCUCCUCUCAUUUUGUUUUGGUUUUGGGGCUGUCAGUCUCCCCUCUUGGAGCUUUGUCAGAUCUCUUGGUACAGUCUCUAGGGGAGGAAUAUUAGCUUCCCUGUCCUCUGGAGGCUUUUGAUUGGAUUGAGUUCAAGUGGGUUGGGCUGUAUGUGUUAUGACGCUCUGAGGCUCUGAAGACUCCUGGAAGGCUGGGCCACCCAGGCUCUCUCCAGUUCUCUCCAGCUGCUUCUCUGCUGUCUACAAGUGCCUUUGCCCUCUUCCCUAAACUCUGAGGAGUUCUGAUUGAAUUAGGUUCAACUGGAUUGAUCUGGUUGUGCCCCGAGGCAAAGGUGAGGCUGGAGCCAGAUGGAGGGACCCAGCCACGGCCCUGUCUCUCCCUGGCUUCCUCCCUGCUGUCCAAGCUGGAUGCUCGGAGCCCGGUGCCCCGCUGCUCACAAGCUAUCAUCCACUGAAGAUCACCUCUGAUGCUGCUGAUGGCCUCCAAAGUUAUCAUUUCCCACCACUCUGUACCAAAUUGCUGUUGCUUCCAUCUACUUCAAUGGCUGAGACUUUUUCAAGGAAGUAUUGUCUUUCUUUAACUCUGAGUCUGCCAUGGGACAACACACCUUGGAGCCAAUUGGCAUGUUGUCAGCCCUUUUCUUCAUCAAUACAACAUCAUAGCUCUCUGACAUUUAGGCUGACUGAUUUUCAGGUGCUCAACAAGUUCUUGCUGACAUAUCUCUCACCGAAAGGUCCUAUGACUC